UGACUGCGAUGGGGUGGAGGCCCGUGG
This 27-nucleotide non-coding RNA is filed under the name Mus musculus (house mouse). The record is from RNAcentral. Lineage: Eukaryota; Metazoa; Chordata; Mammalia; Rodentia; Muridae.